This 789-nucleotide ribosomal RNA is filed under the name uncultured Neisseriales bacterium. RNAcentral's name for it is "bacterial SSU rRNA". It matches the Rfam family "Bacterial small subunit ribosomal RNA", at positions 17 to 793 of the family's 1533-position model. Lineage: Bacteria; Pseudomonadati; Pseudomonadota; Betaproteobacteria; Neisseriales. The record is from RNAcentral.
UCCUGGCUCAGAUUGAACGCUGGCGGCAUGCUUUACACAUGCAAGUCGAACGGCAGCGGGGAGGAGCUUGCUUCUCUGCCGGCGAGUGGCGAACGGGUGAGUAAUACAUCGGAACGUGUCGAGAAGAGGGGGAUAACCACCCGAAAGGGUGGCUAAUACCGCAUAAAUUCUGAGGAAGAAAGCUGGGGACCUGGGAAUAGGCCUAGCGCUUUUUGAGCGGCCGAUGUCGGAUUAGCUAGUUGGUGAGGUAAAGGCUCACCAAGGCGAAGAUCUGUAGCGGGUCUGAGAGGAUGAUCCGCCACACUGGGACUGAGACACGGCCCAGACUCCUACGGGAGGCAGCAGUGGGGAAUUUUGGACAAUGGGGGCAACCCUGAUCCAGCCAUGCCGCGUGUAUGAAGAAGGCCUUAGGGUUGUAAAGCACUUUUGUUAGGGAAGAAAAGUCAGCUGUGAAUAAUGGCUGAUACUGACGGUACCUAAAGAAUAAGCACCGGCUAACUACGUGCCAGCAGCCGCGGUAAUACGUAGGGUGCGAGCGUUAAUCGGAAUUAUUGGGCGUAAAGCGAGUGUAGACGGUUAUUUAAGCCAGAUGUGAAAUACCCGAGCCUAACUUGGGAGGUGCAUAUGGAACUGGGUAGCUAGAGUGUGUCAGAGGGAGGUAGAACUCCACGUGUAGCAGUGAAAUGCGUAGAGAUGUGGAAGAAUACCGAUGGCGAAGGCAGCCUCCUGGGAUAACACUGACGUUGAGGCUCGAAAGCGUGGGGAGCAAACAGGAUUAGAUACCUGUAG